GACGAACCGAGCGAACGUUGUUCGGAAUCACUGGGCGUAAAGGGUGCGUAGGCGGGUCUUUAAGUCAGGGGUGAAAUCCUGGAGCUCAACUCCAGAACUGCCUUUGAUACUGAAGAUCUUGAGUUCGGGAGAGGUGAGUGGAACUGUGAGUGUAGAGGUGAAAUUCGUAGAUAUUCGCAAGAACACCAGUGGCGAAGGCGGCUCAUUGGCCCGAUACUGACGCUGAGGCACGAAAGCGUGGGGAGCAAACAGG
This 253-nucleotide ribosomal RNA is filed under the name uncultured bacterium. Its description in RNAcentral is "partial 16S ribosomal RNA". It matches the Rfam family "Bacterial small subunit ribosomal RNA", at positions 524 to 776 of the family's 1533-position model. The record is from RNAcentral.